Molecule: ribosomal RNA, 501 nt
Filed under: uncultured bacterium
Lineage: Bacteria
Description: partial 16S ribosomal RNA
Rfam family: Bacterial small subunit ribosomal RNA
Source: RNAcentral
AUUGAACGCUGGCGGCAGGCUUAACACAUGCAAGUCGAGCGGGGUGAUGGUGCUUGCACUAUCACUUAGCUGCGGACGGGUGAGUAAUGCUUAGGAAUCUGCCUAUUAGUGGGGGACAACAUCUCGAAAGGGAUGCUAAUACCGCAUACGCCCUACGGGGGAAAGCAGGGGAUCUUCGGACCUUGCGCCAAUAGCUGACCCUAAGACGGAUUAGCGAGUUGGUGGGGUAAAGGCCUACCAAGGCGACGAUCUGUAGCGGGUCUGAGAGGAUGAUCCGCCACACUGGGACUGAGACACGGUCCAGACUCCUACGGGAGGCAGCAGUGGGGAAUAUUGGACAAUGGGCGGAAGCCUGAUCCAGCCAUGCCGCGUGUGUGAAGAAGGUCUUUUGGUUGUAAAGCACUUUAAGCGAGGAGGAGGCUACUUAGAUUAAUACUCUGGGAUAGUGGACGUUACUCGCAGAAUAAGCACCGGCUAACUCUGUGCCAGCCGCCGCCGUAA